AAAAAGACAAACACUGGGUUUCCGUGUCCAACUUUGACUGUCCGUCUUAUAUGAAAUUUUUUUAUAAUUCGUAUUUUCAUUGUUGUUAGAUGAUAAAAUAUGAUUAAUAUUUUAUAUGUGACUUGUCUUUUAAAUUUUUAUAUAUUUUUUUCAAAUAAGACGGACGGUCAAACGUUGGACACGGAAACCAGAGUUUGUUUUACG
Oryza sativa Japonica Group (Japanese rice) is the source of this 204-nucleotide microRNA precursor. It matches the Rfam family "MIR812 microRNA precursor family". NCBI's taxonomy places the organism in Eukaryota, Viridiplantae, Streptophyta, Magnoliopsida, Poales, Poaceae. The record is from Rfam.